GCCGGGCGUGGUGGCGGGUGCCUGUAAUCCCAGCUACUAGGGAAGCUGAGGUAGGAGAAUUGCUUGAACCCAGGAGAUGGAGGUUGCAGUGAGCUGAGAUCAUGCCACUGCACUCCAGCCUGGGCAACAGAGCAAGAUUCUAUCUCAA
Molecule: non-coding RNA, 148 nt
Filed under: Nomascus leucogenys (northern white-cheeked gibbon)
Lineage: Eukaryota; Metazoa; Chordata; Mammalia; Primates; Hylobatidae
Source: Rfam by way of RNAcentral